CUAAUUCCUCAGGAAAAAAAAAAAAAAGAAAAAGAGAAAGUUGCUGUCCUUGAACAUUUUUUCAUGGUAGUUACGGGCAACUUAUAAUAAAAUUAACAAAAAUUCUCUGAGUGAGCAUCUUGAGACCUAUUCUUCACAGUGUGUGCUGCUGUUCAAGAGACUACAGAGCUGGUGUUGCCCAUGCAGGCUGAGAUUGGUACCACAUUCAUCAUCUUGGGACUUUGUCAAAGAUGAGCUGUGCUUCGAGUGUUGAACUGGUAACCAGCUGUAGAAAGCCAGUCCCUGGUUUAACUGAGGGAACUCUAGACCGCAAACCUGCAGGAGAAAUGCCAUGCUGUGUGUUUGUGCUACAUUUUGUCAAGCAAUGGCUGUGUGCUCACAGAUGAGAGAGGGAAAGGAGGUGCAAUAGGCAGUCACGUGGAGGACAGCCUGAAAUCACAAUGAAAAUGAAAUCUGAUUUGUCAUUGCCUGCUCAUUUUGGAGGAGUAAUGGGAGCCAUCACCAUCGCUUGGGAUUUUUUAAGUGACCUUUGUGCUGUUCCAUGAUUUUACUGCUCCUGACCUCUCUCCUUGAGUUAUUUUUAUUGACAAGCUUUCAGACACCAUGAAAGAGUCCACUGGUACUCAGCAACAAAAUACUGUUCACAGCCAGCCAGAGCAAGAUUGAAGGCAUGAAAAACAAAGCAAAUGAAUACCCUGCUGCCUCUCUGCACACAUAGCUGCUUGUUCAGCCUUAAAAACAAGUAAAUAAAACUCAUGAUGUUUGGAUUCAGAGUUAUGGGACACCUCUGCUACAGCAGCUGAUGACUGCUGACGUGGCUGAUCCACACCAAAGUCCCACUUCCACAGCAGCAACUCUACCCAGGCCCCCACGGCUGGCAUGGAGCCCACCUGAGCGUGAGCUGCAGACAAAAGAUGCUCAAGACAUCCCUGCAUUGUUUUUAGACCUGCCUGAAAUGGACUCUGAAAGGAGUUUAUCUGAUCAGUAAAAGCAGCAAUGUAUACAAGAAAUAGCUCACAUCUUUGAGAUCCUUGGUUUCUUUGUACAAAGGGAUGCAGAGAAUUUAGGGGUGACCUUAUCUUCCUGUACCAUCAGCAUACAUACAGAGAUGUCAUCAAAGAUGUCUCAUCAUGAGAACAAGACACCAGAAAUAAGGUGAGCUGCUUAAAUUCAAGAAGGCUUCAAGUCUUCUGAAACUCCCACUACUGUAUUAUCCAGAGUGGAAUGCCUUCAUGUGAGAUACUCCAUUCAUUUCAUCCUAAACCUAAGAAAUUUGAGGAGCUGCAUUACCAGCAUGCCUUUUGAGAAUUUGAGAAUGUGUCAUUGCUAACCAUUUUGGACCAGCUGGUCACAGCAUUAUGAACUGUUGCUAGAAAAAUAUUAUGUUUUCAUAUUACAAGGGUGUAAUUUGCUGUGUCAUCGUUGCGUACUAAAAUCUAAAAGGCAGAAUGUGAUUCAGAGGGUGCAUGGAACACAAACCACCUCCUCAGAAGGCAAAAAUCUCUGCUGAGGAGCAGCAAUGCUCCCAAGUAUGACUGAUAAACAUGUGAGUCUUGUCGUGAGCUAAAUGGCAAAAUAUGGACCCUGCACCAAGGCUUUGCCCAGUACAGUGCAUAAUUCUCUGGUUUGUCUGCAAGCAGGCUGGUUUAUGGCAAUGAAAUCAUGGCAGUGGGAAGAAAGGAAAAGUCUUGCAAAAGUUCUGAGUUAUUCCCUCCAGAUGGCUUGGAAAGAAGGUCUGGUGUCAUCAUGAUAUUUGCCUAAUAACCCUGAAAUGAUCAGUUGAGGCGGAUGAGUGUACUCUCAAACAAGUAUGUGUGUGGAAAUGUGCUCCUCCCCAGCCCUUCCACCCAGACAGGUUGGUUAUGUGUGAAAAUUACAUUAUGAGCCAGAAACUCAAGCUCAGUGCUACCUUAUGGAGUAGACUGGGGGGAAAUUGUCUGAGUAAGAAGAAUAUUAUACUGCAAAAUGGAAGGGAAGAUGUUCUGAGCAUACUCUUCCUCCUCUCUGCUCCAGCCCCCAGUGAGAGCUGAGCACCAGUUCAGCUGUGAGGGGCAUGUCACUCGUACCGGCUUUGCUUUUAAACAUAAGGCACGGAGAUCUCUCUCUAAAUUCAGUGGCCUGUCAAAGUAAGAUACUGAUUAAGGUGAGUACAGACAGUAGAACUGAUCCACAAGAAAUUUUUCCCUACCAUCACCAAGGGACAUUUCAAGGGUUGCCCUUCCCUCUUUUUUCCCAGGGAGUGCAAGUUGAAAAUCAGGAUAAUUGCACAGCAAAAAUGCUUUCCAUCUCACUCCUUUAUUUACUUUUUUUUCAUUAUUUCCUUCCACUCCCAGGUGAAGGAAUGUAGGCUGUUUGAAGACCUGAUCUGCUCGGGUGGGGCAUUAACUUAAUUUGAAGCAUUGCUGAAUAUUUAGUCAUGUUCUGUAGGAGUAUUAGAAUCAGAAAAUUCUUGGAUUCCUAACAAACUCUGCACAUGUGCAUGAUCUCCAGAAAGAGAA
Long non-coding RNA from Motacilla alba alba, 2498 nucleotides. RefSeq lists it as uncharacterized. The record is from RefSeq and is a predicted model, not a curated record. The transcript has 5 exons. Lineage: Eukaryota; Metazoa; Chordata; Aves; Passeriformes; Motacillidae.